This 1346-nucleotide ribosomal RNA is filed under the name uncultured bacterium. RNAcentral describes it as "partial 16S ribosomal RNA". It matches the Rfam family "Bacterial small subunit ribosomal RNA", at positions 28 to 1381 of the family's 1533-position model. The record is from RNAcentral.
GACGAACCUAAGAGGCGUGCUUAACACAUGCAAGUCGAACGGAAAGGCCCUGCUUUUGUGGGGUGCUCGAGUGGCGAACGCUUGAGUAACACGUGAGUAACCUGCCCUUGACUUUGGGAUAACUUCAGGAAACUGGGGCUAAUACCGGAUAGGAGCUCCUGCUGCAUGGUGGGGGUUGGAAAGUUUCGGCGGUUGGGGAUGGACUCGCGGCUUAUCAGCUUGUUGGUGGGGUAGUGGCUUACCAAGGCUUUGACGGGUAGCCGGCCUGAGAGGGUGACCGGCCACAUUGGGACUGAGAUACGGCCCAGACUCCUACGGGAGGCAGCAGUGGGGAAUAUUGCACAAUGGGCGGAAGCCUGAUGCAGCAACGCCGCGUGCGGGAUGACGGCCUUCGGGUUGUAAACCGCUUUCGCCUGUGACGAAGCGUGAGUGACGGUAAUGGGUAAAGAAGCACCGGCUAACUACGUGCCAGCAGCCGCGGUGAUACGUAGGGUGCGAGCGUUGUCCGGAUUUACUGGGCGUAAAGGGCUCGUAGGUGGUUGAUCGCGUCGGAAGUGUAAUCUUGGGGCUUAACCCUGAGCGUGCUUUCGAUACGGGUUGACUUGAGGAAGGUAGGGGAGAAUGGAAUUCCUGGUGGAGCGGUGGAAUGCGCAGAUAUCAGGAGGAACACCAGUGGCGAAGGCGGUUCUCUGGGCCUUUCCUGACGCUGAGGAGCGAAAGCGUGGGGAGCGAACAGGCUUAGAUACCCUGGUAGUCCACGCUGUAAACGGUGGGUACUAGGUGUGGGGUCCAUUCCACGGGUUCCGUGCCGUAGCUAACGCUUUAAGUACCCCGCCUGGGGAGUACGGCCGCAAGGCUAAAACUCAAAGGAAUUGACGGGGCCCCGCACAAGCGGCGGAGCAUGCGGAUUAAUUCGAUGCAACGCGUAGAACCUUACCUGGGUUUGACAUGGAUCGGGAGUGCUCAGAGAUGGGUGUGCCUCUUUUGGGGUCGGUUCACAGGUGGUGCAUGGCUGUCGUCAGCUCGUGUCGUGAGAUGUUGGGUUAAGUCCCGCAACGAGCGCAACCCUUGUUCACUGUUGCCAGCACGUUAUGGUGGGGACUCAGUGGAGACCGCCGGGGUCAACUCGGAGGAAGGUGGGGAUGACGUCAAGUCAUCAUGCCCCUUAUGUCCAGGGCUUCACGCAUGCUACAAUGGCUGGUACAGAGAGUGGCGAGCCUGUGAGGGUGAGCGAAUCUCGGAAAGCCGGUCUCAGUUCGGAUUGGGGUCUGCAACUCGACCUCAUGAAGUCGGAGUCGCUAGUAAUCGCAGAUCAGCAACGCUGCGGUGAAUACGUUCCCGGGGCU